GGAACAUAGGGAGCUGCCAUAUACCGAGUCUGGCCGUUGGUCUAUCUAGCUCAGUAUUUGUCUUCACAGACUGGCAGCAGCUUCUCCAAAGGUCCGGCGGGUGAUUGGCGACUUCGGGGUCCCCAUUGCCAUCCUCAUCAUGGUGCUGGUGGACUACAGCACCCAGGACACCUACACUCAGUAACUCAGCAUCUAAUGCAGUGGGUUGUCAGUCACAAAAGCUCCUGCAAUAUUCACGCAGUCUCCAAGGGCUACUUAUUUCUUGACAAGCCCUUCAGGUGGUGUUUAUCAAAAGCUGCAAGCAAAACCUUGGAUGCUGGAGCUGUCGGUGACUGACCAGGAGAGGGAUCUUGGGGUCGUGGUGGACAGCUUGUUGAAAGCAUCGACUCAAUGUGCAGCCGCUGUGAAAAAGGCCAGUUCCAUGCUAGGGAUCAUUAGGAAGGGGAUUGAAAAUAAAAUGGCUAAUAUUAUAAAGCCCUUGCACAAAACUAUGGUGCUGUCACAUUUGGAGCAUUGCAUACGAUUCUGGUCACCACAUCUAAAAAAGGACAUUGUAGAACAGGAAAAGGGGAUCAGGGGCCUAGAGCACAUUUCUUAUGAGGCAAGACUACAACACCUGGGGCUAUUUAGUUUAGAAAAAAGACGACUGCGGGGAGACAUGAUAGAGGUCUAUAAAAUCAUGCAUGGGGUGGAGAAAGUGGAUAGAGAGACAUUCUUCUCCCUCUCCCAUAACACUGGAACCAGGGGUCAUCCCAUGAAAUAACCCACUUGUGGAAUUCUCUGCCACAAGAUGUGGUGACAGCCAACCACCUGGAUGGCUUGAAGAGGGGUUUGGAUGAGUUCAUGGAGGAGAGGUCUAUCAACGGCUACUAGUCAGAGGGCUACAGGCCACCUCCAGCCUCCAAGGCAGGAUGCCUCUGAGUACCAGUUGCAGGGGAGUAACAGCAGGAGAGAGGGCCUGCCCUCAACUCCUGCCUGCUGCUUCCAGUGGCAUCUGGUGGGUUACUGUGUGAAACAGGAUGCUGGACUAGAUGGGCUUCCUUGGGGGAGCCUGAUCCAGCAGCCAGGCUGUUCUGAUGUACUUCUGUCUUGCGGAGGAGGGACAGCUUUGCAAUGCACGGCUGAGCCUCCAGGAGGGCUUCCCUGGUGGAACCUGAACACUCUGCCCGAAAUCCUCCUGUGCUCCUGGAGGCGGCCACAAGGAGCUGCUCGUUCUGGCUGGCUGGCUGCUUUGUGAUGGUUUGCUCACGGUGUGGCAAGUUCUUUUCAAACCUCCCCUUAAACUAAGCCCCCUCUUUAUUUCAUAAGACGACUGCUGCUUCGUGUCCAGCGUACCUCAUCCAAGACCUUCCUACGGCCUGGCUGCUCAGGGUGGGCUGUCGUCAAGAAGGGCUAGCUCUGGGCGACUCCCUCUGUUGCUGUCGGGAAGGCCGUUUGCUUCUGGGGCUCUCAUUUAUGGUACUCUUUAUAUUUAAAUAUGUAUACUUAAGAGAACGUCUUUUUCACCAUGAGCCCUACUGCCUGCUAAGGUCAUCUGGAGAGGUCCGUCUGCAGUUGCCGCCAGCUUGUCUGGUGACUACUCGGGAACGGGCCUCCUUCUCCGUUGCAGCCCCUGGACCUUGGAAUGUGCUCCCUGUUGAAAUAAGAGCCUCCCCAACUCUGGCAACUUGUGCAAAGGCACUGGGGACACAUUUAUUCACCCAGGCUUUUAAUUAGAUGUAUAGUCUUAAUUUUUAAUGCUGGUUUUAAAUGCUUUUAAUGUUAAUGUUUUAAAUGUUUAAAUGUUUUUAAUUGUUUGAUUUGGUUUUGAUUUUAACUGUUAAUUGAUUUUAAUUGUUUUAUUUGUUGUAAACCACCCUGAGCCAUUUUGGAGGUGUGGCAUAUAAAUCAAAUAAAUAAUAAUAAUAAUAUAUC
This is a long non-coding RNA of Hemicordylus capensis (graceful crag lizard), 1914 nucleotides long. RefSeq lists it as uncharacterized. The record is from RefSeq and is a predicted model, not a curated record. The transcript is spliced from 3 exons. NCBI's taxonomy places the organism in Eukaryota, Metazoa, Chordata, Lepidosauria, Squamata, Cordylidae.